GAUGAAGAACGCAGCAAAAUGCGAUAAGUAAUGUGAAUUGCAGAAUUCAGUGAAUCAUCGAAUCUUUGAACGCACAUUGCGCCCGCUGGUAUUCCGGCGGGCAUGCCUGUUCGAGCAUCAUUUCAACCCUCAAGCCCCCGGGUUUGGUGUUGGGGAUCGGCUCUGCCCUUCUGGGCGGUGCCGCCCCCGAAAUACAUUGGCGGUCUCGCUGCAGCCUCCAUUGCGUAGUAGCUAACACCUCGCAACUGGAACGCGGCGCGGCCAUGCCGUAAAACCCCAACUUCUGAAUGUUGACCUCGGAUCAGGUAGGAAUACCCGCUGAACUUAAGCAUAUCAAUAAGCGGAGGA
This 348-nucleotide unclassified non-coding RNA is filed under the name soil metagenome. RNAcentral describes it as "partial contains 5.8S ribosomal RNA, internal transcribed spacer 2, and large subunit ribosomal RNA". The stretch from base 1 to 120 matches the Rfam family "5.8S ribosomal RNA", at positions 35 to 154 of the family's 154-position model. The record is from RNAcentral.